This 253-nucleotide ribosomal RNA is filed under the name uncultured bacterium. RNAcentral describes it as "partial 16S ribosomal RNA". It matches the Rfam family "Bacterial small subunit ribosomal RNA", at positions 524 to 776 of the family's 1533-position model. The record is from RNAcentral.
UACGUAGGGUGCGAGCGUUAAUCGGAAUUACUGGGCGUAAAGCGUGCGCAGGCGGUUCGUUGUGUCGGCGGUGAAAGCCCCGGGCUUAACCUGGGAAUGGCCGUCGAAACUGGCGAACUGGAGUGUGGCAGAGGGGGGUGGAAUUCCGCGUGUAGCAGUGAAAUUCGUAGAUAUUCGGAAGAACACCAGUGGCGAAGGCGGCUCACUGGACUGGUAUUGACGCUGAGGUGCGAAAGCGUGGGGAGCAAACAGG